CUUCAGUGAUGAUAAGAUGACGAGUCAGAAGGGGGUGGCUCCUGUUGAGUGAUUCCUCUGCAGUGUCAUGUUCUGUGAUGCUGUGUGUGGUUCUUUAGCAGGAGCAUCCUGUUGUCAUUGAAUGAUUUAGAGGCAUUUGUCUGAGAAGG
Struthio camelus australis is the source of this 149-nucleotide small nucleolar RNA. The record is from Ensembl. Lineage: Eukaryota; Metazoa; Chordata; Aves; Struthioniformes; Struthionidae.